This 3998-nucleotide long non-coding RNA is filed under the name Limulus polyphemus (Atlantic horseshoe crab). Its description in RNAcentral is "uncharacterized LOC111083507". The record is from RNAcentral. Lineage: Eukaryota; Metazoa; Arthropoda; Merostomata; Xiphosura; Limulidae.
UUAAUAAGGGCAUGUAGAACUGCCACAUUGUUUAAUAAGGGCAUGUAGAACUGCCACAUUGUUUAAUAAGGGCAUGUAGAACUGUUUCAUUGUUUAAUAAGGGCAUGUAGAACUGCCACAUUGUUUAAUAAGGGCAUUUACAACAGCCACAUUGUUUAAUAAGGGCAUGUAGAACUGCCACAUUGUUUAAUAAUGGCAUUUACAACUGUUAAAUUGUUUGAUAAGGGCUAGUGCAACUGUUACAUUAUUUAAUAAGGGCUAGUACAACUGUUACAUUGUUUAAUAAGGGCAUUUACAACUGUUAAAUUGUUUGAUAAGGGCUUUUACAACUGUUACACUGUUUAAUAAGGGCUAGUACAACUGUUGCAUUGUUUAAUAAGUGCUAGUACAACUGUUGCAUUGUUUAAUAAGUGCUAGUACAACUGUUGCAUUGUUUAAUAAGUGCUAGUUCAACUGUUACAGUGUUUAAUAAUGGCAUGUACAACUGUUACAUUGUUUGAUAAGGGCAUAUAGAACUGCUACAUUGUUUAAUAAUGGCAUUUUGAGCUGUUACAUUUUCUAAUAAGGGCAUGUACAGUGUAACAGUAUAAAAAUGUCUAGUAAAAGUUAAAGCAAUGUUUUGUUUGAAGUUGUGUGAUAAAAUUAUGUUACCAUGAAUACAGCGUGUUCAGUCAGUUGAGGUUUAGACGAGAUUUUUUUGUGCACGAAACUGUUUCACUAUAAAACCUAGAAAUAUUUUCCCAUGUCCUUGUAAAAUGUUUGUGGAGAGACAUCUAUUGGGAGGUAAUCUAUUAUCUUAUUAUACCCUGUAUACUGAUAUGAAGUAAUUAAUGUUUUGUUAGAGGCUAGUGUUAUAUAUUAUGGAUUUGGAGCUUAUGUGUCUCGGGAUAUGUGUGCAUUGAUGUACUGUAAAACUGUAACAUUUGUUCAUCAUUUAAAAUAACACAUCAAAUAGACAAAUAUAAAAUACUAAUUAUCAAAUUAGAAUAUUUUCGAUGCCAUUAUAUGUUAAUAUAUUACGUAUUAUACAAAUAUAGUUUUAUACAUUGAUAAGAUAAUUUUUUUUAGUUGACCACAAAAUUUGUAUAAUUCUCCUAACAGAAAGUAAAUAUAAAUUCAUAUUAUUUUAAUUGUACAUUACAAAUUACACAGCUGUCAGUCUUGAAUGAACUAUAUUUUUACAGAAAUGGAACCUCUGGAUUUACAUUCUAGAACUUGUCCUUUGUGCUUGAGGGUAUUUUCUUCUAGUGGAAAUAAAAGUCGACACAUGAGGCUACACCGUCUAGAGAUGAAGUUUCGUUGCAGCAUUUGUACGUUUACAACCACUCGAAGGGAUGCACUCCGUAGUCAUAUAAAAGUUCGCCAUCAAGAUGAAUACAGUGAACAGUUGCAUUAUUGAGGAAGUUUCUGACAGUAUAAAAACACUGCUCAUUUUUUACCAUUGUUUUAUUUAUAUAGUCUGUACAAUGAGUUAAUACAAUUAUAUAGGAACUGGCACUGUAUAACAGUAUGAAUGAUACUUACAUUCUGGUGUUGAUUCUGUUGAAACAGUCUUUUCAGAAGUUUCCUUGUGAAUAAAUAUCUUUUGACCCAUUUUGUUGUAGUUCUUAUUUCUAACAAAACACUUUAACAUUGUUCUAUAUACAUAUAUAUAAGAGUGAACAAUGCCGUACAUUUAAAGAUUAUAAUUUAUCUAAAUAUAUAGCUUAUCAUGCUGUACGUAUCAGGCUUAACAUUGCCAUAUAUUUAAAGCUUAAUGUUGCUGUAUGUAUAAAGUUUACUGUUUGCCUAGAGCUUAACAUGUUGUAUUUAUCAUUCCCAAAGGAAAUGUCAAAUACCUGUUCUUGAAAUGUGCUAGUUUGGAGGUUACUAGUUUAUAGCUUAAUGUUGCUGUAUGCAUAAAGUUUACUGUUUGCCUAGAGCUUAACAUGUUGUAUUUGACAUUUCCUUUGGGAAUGAAUGUCAAAUACCUGUUCUUGAAAUGUGCUAGUUUGGAGGUUACUAGUUUAUAGACAUCGGAACCUGGGAUGCCGUUGCACCCCCACUUUUAUAUAUGCAACUGUAAGUUAUUAUAUUCAUUUUCUGGGGUGCAAACCCUCUAGAUUGAGCUGCUCCUUAUACUUUCAACCUCUCCUUGUAAAAUGUGCAUGUAUAGCCAAGCACCCCCCACUUUGCAACUUCUUCGUACACCACUGUAGAAGGUUAUCUUUUAAGGUUAUUCAAAUACAAAGUUCUCAGUUUUGUGUUCUUUUCUAGCUUGUGAGUGUAUUUGUCUGGCACCAAAAAUGUAGGCUGUCUUCAAAGUAACGUCCAUUGGUUUGGCAGAAAGUUCACGUUGAACAGCCCAGUCCGUACAUACAUAUGAUUUGUCUUUUCUAGGUUAAUGACACUACUUUUGCUGACAUCAUCAGUUCCAGUCUUCAAUGAUGUUUUAAACAUUAAAAACACAACAUUAUAUCUAAUAUCAUUGUGCAACAACAGUUUAGCUUGUUACUCGCUUCCUUAUGGAUACAUCUGUACAAGACAGAGGUAAUGGUUUUUAGUUAAUGGUAACCUUGUUCCAACAGCACAGCUUAUUGGAAUAAGUAGAUACAAAACAAGUAAGUAUAGCUUUAUAAAGUGUAGACAUAUGAACUUUGAUACUUAUUAUAGAAGGGAAAUUUAUCAGUAACAUCAAUUUUAAUAAUAAAGUUUUCUGUUUCUUCAUAUUAAUCAGAAAUUGAAAUUAACAGUGUGUAAAUUUUUUUAUAAAUCUAAUAUAUUUUGCUUUCAGAUUCUUAUCUGAGAGCCAGGGCUUGUGAACUUUUCCAUAAAGGUUUUUUUUAUAAUUCUACAAAUUUUCUUUUCUGAGAACCAGGAUUUGUAAACUUUACCUUAAAGGUUUUUUUUAUAAUUCUACAAUUUUUUUCAGUUCUUUUCUGAGAACCAGGACUUGUAAAUUUUACCUUAAAGUUUUUUUUUUAUAAUUCUACAAUUUUUUUUUUCGUGAGAGCUAGGGCAUGUGAACAUUGCUAUAAAGUUAUUUUUUAAAUCUCUAAAACAUUUUCAGAGAUUGAACUUGUGAACUUUGCCUUAGUGUUUUUUUUUUAUAAAUCAAACAUUUUUUUUAGAUAUAUUUUUGAAAGCUAGGACUUGUAAUUUUGCCACAAAGUGUUUAUAAUAAAUCAACUACACUUUAUUUUCAGAUACUUUUCUGAUAGCUAGAAGUUGCGAUCUGUGCCAUAAUAUUUUUUUAUAAAUGAAAUACAUUUAUUUUCAGAUACUUUUCUGACAGAUAGGACUUGUGAACAUUGCCAAUGAAUGUUUUUUUAAAAUUCGAUCACAUUUUAUUUUCAGAUACUUUUCUGAGAGCUAGGACUUGCGAACUUUGCCAUAAAGUGUUUUCAUCUCAAGGAAACAAAAGCAGGCAUAUGAGACUACAUCGAGGAGAACGGAGAUUUCGCUGCACCUUUUGUAAUUUCACCUCAACUAGGAGGGAUGAACUGCGACACCAUAUUGAAGUUCGUCACAAGCAUGAUUCAAGCUUAGUCGUCCAAUGACUAUACAUUAAAAUUAGACAUUUUCUGAGAAAGGCUUGAUUGUUCUUAGGACAACAUGUCUAUGGCAUCAGUAAUUUAUUUUACCUAAGUUUUGAUGUAACUAAAGAUAAAUGAUAAAUUUUUAUACCAUUUGUAAAAAUGUAUUUUCAAAUUUAAAGUUAUUAGAUUACACUUAUUGUUGAUAGUAAGGAAAUCUUUGACUGACAUUAUUUAGAAUGGAUAGUUAUGUAUGGUGCAAAACUGAUAAGUUUUGCUUGUAAUUGAAAUGAAAAUAUUGUAUUGUGUUUUACUACGAAGUUUAUGUAAAAUAUGUAUGUAGAAUUCAAUACAGAUAGGUGGAAUGUCCUUGUACUCUUUGAAAAGAAAUAAUAAUAAUGUAUAAUUUUUUAUAAAUACAAUAAAAGAUGUUGGCAGUUUAAGGGUCAAUCACCAACUAAGGUCGGUUGGCCAGAACAUUCA